UACGAAGGUGGCAAGCGUUGUUCGGAUUUACUGGGCGUACAGGGCGCGUAGGCGGUUGGAUAAGCCCUCCGUGAAAUCUCCAGGCUUAACCUGGAAAGUGCAGAGGGGACUGUUCAGCUAGAGGAUGGGAGAGGAGCGCGGAAUUCCCGGUGUAGUGGUGAAAUGCGUAGAUAUCGGGAGGAACACCAGUGGCGAAGGCGACUUCCUGGCCUGUUCUUGACGCUGAGGCGCGAAAGCUAGGGUAGCAAACGGG
Molecule: ribosomal RNA, 253 nt
Filed under: uncultured bacterium
Lineage: Bacteria
Description: partial 16S ribosomal RNA
Rfam family: Bacterial small subunit ribosomal RNA
Source: RNAcentral